RNAcentral lists this ribosomal RNA (499 nucleotides) under uncultured bacterium. Its description in RNAcentral is "bacterial SSU rRNA". It matches the Rfam family "Bacterial small subunit ribosomal RNA", at positions 28 to 486 of the family's 1533-position model. The record is from RNAcentral.
GACGAACGCUGGCGGCGUGCCUAAUACAUGCAAGUCGUACGCACUCUCGUUUAGAUUGAAGGAGCUUGCUCCUGAUUGAUAAACAUUUGAGUGAGUGGCGGACGGGUGAGUAACACGUGGGUAACCUGCCCUAAAGUGGGGGAUAACAUUUGGAAACAGAUGCUAAUACCGCAUAAAACCUAACACCGCAUGGUGUAGGGUUGAAAGAUGGUUUCGGCUAUCACUUUAGGAUGGACCCGCGGUGCAUUAGUUAGUUGGUGAGGUAAAGGCUCACCAAGACCGUGAUGCAUAGCCGACCUGAGAGGGUAAUCGGCCACACUGGGACUGAGACACGGCCCAGACUCCUACGGGAGGCAGCAGUAGGGAAUCUUCCACAAUGGACGAAAGUCUGAUGGAGCAACGCCGCGUGAGUGAAGAAGGUUUUCGGAUCGUAAAACUCUGUUGUUGGAGAAGAAUGUAUCUGAUAGUAACUGAUCAGGUAGUGACGGUAUCCAACCAG